Molecule: non-coding RNA, 540 nt
Organism: Talpa occidentalis (Iberian mole)
Lineage: Eukaryota; Metazoa; Chordata; Mammalia; Eulipotyphla; Talpidae
Source: the annotation of a RefSeq genome assembly
AUGAGACACUGGGGUGCUCUGCUGGGGCUUCUGUGGGUCCAGAUUGGCUGGGUGAGAGGGAUGCAGGUGGAGCAAAGUCCUGGAUCCCUGAGUCUCCUGGAGGGAAACAGCUCCACUAUGAGAUGCAACUUUUCUACCACCAUGAACUAUGCGCAGUGGUUCCGACAGAACCAGGGGGGCGGCCUGGUCACCCUGUUUUACAUAGUUCCAGGGACUCCGAAGCAGGAGGGAAGGUUAACUGCCACACUGAACUUUAAGGAGCAGUACAGCACCCUGCACAUCAAGGGCGCCCAGCUGGAGGACUCAGCCACCUACCUGUGUGCGGGGGAGGCACAGUGCUCUGGGGUGAUGUGCAGCCUGUACCCAAACUGCAGCUGGGCCUCAGCCCCACCCCUUCCUGGGAGUGGGGGCAUGUCUAUGUUUCUGCAGGCUCCAAAAGAGAGGACAGUAAACUUUGUGGAUAAAUUAUUACAAAAUAAAGUUGUGUAUUUGAACUUUGCAAUAAGCUUUUCGGAGAGAUUGCAAUUCUCCAAAGUUUAG